GUAGGUGGCGAGCGUUGUCCGGAUUUAUUGGGUUUAAAGGGUGCGUAGGCGGCCCUAUAAGUCAGUGGUGAAAUAUCGCAGCUUAACUGUGAGGGUGCCAUUGAUACUGUAGGGCUUGAGUGAAUUUGAGGUAGGCGGAAUUGACGGUGUAGCGGUGAAAUGCUUAGAUAUCGUCAAGAACACCGAUAGUGAAGACAGCUUACCAAGCUUCAACUGACGCUGAGGCACGAAAGUGUGGGGAUCAAACAGGAUUAGAUACCCUGGUAGUCCACACUGUAAACGUUGAUUACUCGCUGUUGGCGAUACACAGCCAGCGGCUAAGCGCAAGCGAUAAGUAAUCCACCUGGGGAGUACGCCGGCAACGGUGAA
This 369-nucleotide ribosomal RNA is filed under the name uncultured bacterium. RNAcentral describes it as "bacterial SSU rRNA". It matches the Rfam family "Bacterial small subunit ribosomal RNA", at positions 527 to 898 of the family's 1533-position model. The record is from RNAcentral.